UUCUACUUCAAAAGUUAAUUUGUACGUUGGAAAAACUUAUCUAGUUACUGUAAGUAAGCCUAACAGAAAACCUCAAACGAAUUACGGAAAAAACAGAUUUUAUUAGAUUUGUUUACACAGGCAAGCUGGUUUAAACGAAUGAUACGGCAAAAUCAAUAAAGUUCCUGGAAGAUUGAACAUUUAAAUAAAAUUGGAGUAAGCUACAGUUAAAAAGGCGCGAGGAAAAGCAAAAAGAAGGAAGAUUAGGUGUGAGCACGAGGGUAGAAAAAGAAACUACUUUUUUGAGCUGAUCAUACAAAUAGACUGCUUCAAAAUUACUUCCUGAAUCCGCAACAAACUCAAAAAAGUAAUGAGUCAGACGGAUCUAACCUCAAAUCACUCUAAUCAGGAGGAGCUGGAUCUUACGCUUACGCCCUGUGCGGCCUGUAAAACUACCUCAACGGAGAAUGAGCCAAUGGUAGGAUGCGAUUCGUGUGAUAACUGGUUUCACUAUCGAUGUGUGAAUGUGACGGAAGCCCUUAAAAAGAAAAAACGGUGGUUCUGCAAGGAGACCGCUUGCCAAGAGGCGGCCAAAAAGUAUCAGAAAAAAACAGAUACCAAGAAAAUGAAGUCAGAAACGGUGCUCACACUGGAGAACAGAAGUUAAAGGCUAUGGAAGAGGAGCAUAAGAAGAGGUUGGAGGAAUUGGACAUGGAGAGGAUCCUGAAGGAAAGGGAAAUGCAGUUUAAAUUGGAGCUGAAGGAAAUACAGAUGCAUCAAGAACAGGAAUUAAAAGAGCAGGAAUUGGAUCGAGAAAAAGAUGCUGAAUCGUGCUCUAGCGGACAAAGCAAAUUAACGCCGGUGAAUGAAGUGUAUUCGUGACGAAUAUGAAGAGGAAGUAAAUAUCAUGGAUGAGAAUGCCCGAGGGCUAGGAUUGUAUUUUCCGGUAUCAGUCUCCAAUGUGAAUGCCGAAAAGCCACCAAUUACUGAAUCGUUGAAACGAAACCAAAAACCGAAGAAGCUGAAUAAACAGGAGGUCGCGUCUGCAAGUGGAAUUGCUGGAGCCGGUGAGCAAGACGAAAGUGAAGAUUCCGAGAGCGAUUUCGUGGACCAUCAAGCGGAUCAAAACGUGGAUGGAUCAUCGUCUAGUACCCCAAAGAAGAAUCGUGAACAAGUUGACAGCCAGUUUCAAAACGGGCUGGGGCAGCAGCAUGCUAGUCCAACAAAGAUGCAGCUUGCAUCUAGAAGCGGUGUGACGAA
Molecule: long non-coding RNA, 1239 nt
Organism: Wyeomyia smithii (pitcher-plant mosquito)
Lineage: Eukaryota; Metazoa; Arthropoda; Insecta; Diptera; Culicidae
Exons: 3
Source: RefSeq, a predicted model, not a curated record